RNAcentral lists this non-coding RNA (167 nucleotides) under uncultured Clostridium sp. Lineage: Bacteria; Bacillati; Bacillota; Clostridia; Eubacteriales; Clostridiaceae. The record is from RNAcentral.
GGUGCUUAAGGUAUUUUAAUAUGCCUUAAGAUAAUAGGGAAAUGGGUGUAAGUCCCAUACGGUCCCGCCGCUGUAAAGGUACAAUAAUAUUCAAUUAUAUCACUGAAAAAUCGGGAAGAUAGAAUAUUGUGCUAUAAAACCUAAGUCAGAAGACCUGCCUAUAAAAA